This 693-nucleotide ribosomal RNA is filed under the name Caladenia arenicola. RNAcentral describes it as "eukaryotic LSU rRNA". The stretch from base 255 to 410 matches the Rfam family "5.8S ribosomal RNA". Lineage: Eukaryota; Viridiplantae; Streptophyta; Magnoliopsida; Asparagales; Orchidaceae. The record is from RNAcentral.
CAUUGUCGAGACCCACAAGAGAAUGAGCAAAUCUGAUAACAUGUAAACUAUAAAUAAGGUGGCUGCAAAAUUUGUCACCACUCUUUCGUCCCUCUACAAUGUCUCCUUUAUUGGAUUCAUGGUAGAAGUAUCGACUGAAAAAAAAAUCGGCACAGCGCUGUGCCAAGGGAUAUGUAUAAUAAAGUGACUAUGACACAUCCUCAAAUCUUAAUCGAUUUUAGGAGAGUGUUAUUGCUACUUUUUAUAGAUUGUAUGACUCCCGACAAUGGAUAUCUUGGCUCUUGCAUCGAUGAAGAGCGCAGCGAAAUGCGAUACGUGGUGCGAAUUGCAGAAUCCCGUGAACCAUCGAGUUUUUGAACGCAAGUUGCGCCCAAAGCUAUCUAGCUGAGGGCACGUCCGCCUGGGUGUCAUGUAUUAUGUCGCUCCUCUAUCAUUAUCCGUCAAUAUGUUGUGAUGUUGGUAGUUAGGAUGUGGAAAUUGACUCGUCGUGCAUGUUUUUUUGUGUGGCGGGCUAAAGUUCUAUUUUCCUUACUCUUUGACAUGGUUGAUAAGGGGUGGAUAGAAGGAGCCAGUUGGCCCAUUUCUUCACAAUCAUACCAUUACUUUGAGGAUGGAAAGCUAACACUCUAGGGGCAUACCUAACUCUAAUAUAGGUGGUGCCAUCCUUAAAUGCGACCCCAGGAUGGGCGGGAU